GCGGGGGAGGGCUGGAAGGGAGAGGAAGGGAGUGGUUGGGAGCCGGACUGCCGCAGCCUCUGGUCUCCUCAGCCGCGGAAGCGACCCCUCCUCCUGCGCCUCGGCCGCCUCCCUCCUCGCUGAGGAAAGAUGCCCUUAGCCCAGGGGUGUGAAGAAGGGGGCGAAGUAGCUGCCAGAGCCGCCCGCGCCGCCGCCGCAGCUGCUGCGGCUCUUGUCCUUUGAAUUCAGAGAAGCACCCCCCCUCGCCUGGGGCGUCGGGAGCCUCCGGCGCGGCGGCCGCGGUGUGGGUGUGGGGGAGACGGGGAAUCUCUGCCUGGCGCGGCGCGGCUCGGCCCAGGAGUGACCACCGACAUGGAGCGGGCUCGGGCGGCCAAGUAGCCCCUUCGGAGCCCGGUGCCAGUGCCGCCCGCAGCCCGCCUUCCACCCCCGGCCGCGCCGCCGGUCAGGCCCUGGGGAGAAGCCUGGAGAAAAAUGAGGAGUUUUCACCGGAAUCCGUUGAAAAUAGGACUGACUGCAAAGCCUUAAAAAAGAAGGACCUCGGGAGGAGAAACGAAAAGCGUCCUCCGGGCAAGACUUGGCGUGCUCCGAGCCGAGGGGCUGUUCAGGGACCUCGCCCCCUCCCUUUCCCGCUGGAGAAAUUGCCGCUGAUGCACUAUCCAAGUGGUGGUUGGGAGGAUUUGCAGCAACAUAUUUGGUUUUCCCUCCCCCUUCUAUGCAUUCUGUUUUUUUCUCCCUUUUCUGUUUUUCUUCCCGGGAAGUGAAUUGCUGAUGCAAAUCGGACUUUAUUCAUUAGUGAUGCAACUGGAUUCGUUUCAGGAUUACGUUGCACGAGUUGAAUUUUGAAUGAAGGAGAAGAGUUUUUUUUUUUUUUAAAGAAGUGUUGACUCUAGUUCGUUGUACUUUUAAUUAUUUUAUUUAAAUAUACGACUUAAUUGUAUUCUUUAAAAAAUGCAUUAAGUAUAUAUUUUAUGGUAAUUUACCCUCAAAAUAUAUGUAUAUGGGUGAAAUUGAAGACGCUUCAGUUAAGUGAGGUUACCGGUGUGUUGGAUGUUUAAUUCAGCACCAGCAUUGCAUGACAGUUGUUUGAAUAACAAGUGGUUUAUUUUUAAAACCAUACCUUUUAAAAUUUAGGUUCAGAUAAUAGUAAAAGUCAUCAUAAUAAUUUAAAGGAAAACCAGCAGAAAUCGAAGCAAACAUGUCUGGAGAAGUGCGUUUGAGGCAGUUGGAGCAGUUUAUUUUGGACGGGCCCGCUCAGACCAAUGGGCAGUGCUUCAGUGUGGAGACAUUACUGGAUAUACUUAUCUGUCUUUAUGAUGAAUGCAAUAAUUCUCCAUUGAGAAGAGAGAAGAACAUUCUCGAAUACCUAGAAUGGGCUAAACCAUUUACUUCUAAAGUGAAACAAAUGCGAUUACAUAGAGAAGACUUUGAAAUAUUAAAGGUGAUUGGUCGAGGAGCUUUUGGGGAGGUUGCCGUAGUAAAACUUAAAAAUGCAGAUAAAGUAUUUGCCAUGAAAAUAUUGAAUAAAUGGGAAAUGCUGAAAAGAGCUGAGACAGCAUGUUUUCGUGAAGAAAGGGAUGUAUUAGUGAAUGGAGACAAUAAAUGGAUUACAACCUUGCACUAUGCUUUCCAGGAUGACAAUAACUUAUACCUGGUUAUGGAUUAUUAUGUUGGUGGUGAUUUGCUUACUUUACUCAGCAAAUUUGAAGAUAGAUUGCCUGAAGAUAUGGCUCGAUUUUACUUGGCUGAGAUGGUGAUAGCAAUUGACUCAGUUCAUCAGCUACAUUAUGUACACAGAGACAUUAAACCUGACAAUAUACUGAUGGAUAUGAAUGGACAUAUUCGGUUAGCAGAUUUUGGUUCUUGUCUGAAGCUGAUGGAAGAUGGAACGGUUCAGUCCUCAGUGGCUGUAGGAACCCCAGAUUAUAUCUCUCCUGAAAUCCUUCAAGCCAUGGAAGAUGGAAAAGGCAGAUAUGGACCUGAAUGUGACUGGUGGUCUUUGGGGGUCUGUAUGUAUGAAAUGCUUUAUGGAGAAACACCAUUUUAUGCAGAAUCUCUGGUGGAGACAUACGGAAAAAUCAUGAAUCACAAAGAGAGGUUUCAGUUUCCAGCCCAAGUGACUGAUGUGUCUGAAAAUGCUAAGGAUCUUAUUCGAAGGCUCAUUUGUAGCAGAGAACAUCGACUUGGUCAAAAUGGAAUAGAAGACUUUAAGAAACAUCCAUUUUUCAGUGGAAUUGAUUGGGAUAAUAUUCGGAACUGUGAAGCACCUUAUAUUCCAGAAGUUAGUAGCCCAACAGAUACAUCGAAUUUUGAUGUAGAUGAUGAUUGUUUAAAAAAUUCUGAAACGAUGCCCCCACCAACACACACUGCAUUUUCUGGCCACCAUCUGCCAUUUGUUGGUUUUACAUAUACUAGUAGCUGUGUACUUUCUGAUCGGAGCUGUUUAAGAGUUACAGCUGGUCCCACCUCACUGGAUCUUGAUGUUAAUGUUCAGAGGACUCUAGACAACAACUUAGCAACUGAAGCUUAUGAAAGAAGAAUUAAGCGCCUUGAGCAAGAAAAACUUGAACUCAGUAGAAAACUUCAAGAGUCAACACAGACUGUCCAAGCUCUGCAGUAUUCAACUGUUGAUGGUCCGCUAACAGCAAGCAAAGAUUUAGAAAUAAAAAACUUAAAAGAAGAAAUUGAAAAACUAAGGAAACAAGUAACAGAAUUGAGUCAUUUGGAACAGCAACUUGAAGAAGCUAAUGCUGUGAGGCAAGAACUAGAUGAAGCUUUUAGACAAAUCAAGGCUUAUGAAAAACAAAUCAAAACGUUACAACAAGAAAGAGAAGAUCUAAAUAAGGAACUAGUCCAGGCUAGUGAGCGAUUAAAAAACCAAUCCAAAGAGCUGAAAGACGCACACUGUCAGAGGAAACUGGCCAUGCAGGAAUUCAUGGAGAUCAAUGAGCGGCUAACAGAAUUGCACACCCAAAAACAGAAACUUGCUCGCCAUGUCCGAGAUAAGGAAGAAGAGGUGGACCUGGUGAUGCAAAAAGUUGAAAGCUUAAGGCAAGAACUGCGCAGAACAGAAAGAGCCAAAAAAGAGCUGGAAGUUCAUACAGAAGCUCUAGCUGCUGAAGCAUCUAAAGACAGGAAACUACGUGAACAAAGUGAGCACUAUUCUAAGCAACUGGAAAAUGAAUUGGAGGGACUGAAGCAAAAACAAAUUAGUUACUCACCAGGAAUAUGCAGCAUAGAACAUCAGCAAGAGAUAACCAAACUAAAGACUGAUUUGGAAAAGAAAAGUGUCUUUUAUGAAGAAGAAUUAUCUAAAAGAGAAGGAAUACAUGCAAAUGAAAUAAAAAAUCUUAAGAAAGAACUGCAUGAUUCAGAAGGUCAGCAACUUGCUCUCAACAAAGAAAUUAUGAUUUUAAAAGACAAAUUGGAAAAAACCAGGAGAGAAAGUCAAAGUGAAAGGGAAGAAUUUGAAAGUGAGUUCAAACAACAGUAUGAACGAGAAAAAGUGUUGUUAACUGAAGAAAAUAAAAAGCUGACAAGUGAACUUGAUAAGCUUACUACUUUGUAUGAGAACUUAAGUAUACACAACCAGCAGUUAGAAGAAGAGGUUAAAGAUCUAGCAGACAAGAAAGAAUCAGUUGCACAUUGGGAAGCCCAAAUCACAGAAAUAAUUCAGUGGGUCAGCGAUGAAAAGGAUGCACGAGGGUAUCUUCAGGCCUUAGCUUCUAAAAUGACUGAAGAAUUGGAGGCAUUAAGAAAUUCCAGCUUGGGUACACGAGCAACAGAUAUGCCCUGGAAAAUGCGUCGUUUUGCGAAACUGGAUAUGUCAGCUAGACUGGAGUUGCAGUCAGCUCUGGAUGCAGAAAUAAGAGCCAAACAGGCCAUCCAAGAAGAGUUGAAUAAAGUUAAAGCAUCUAAUAUCAUAACAGAAUGUAAACUAAAAGAUUCAGAGAAGAAGAACUUGGAACUGCUCUCAGAAAUCGAACAACUGAUAAAGGACACUGAAGAGCUUAGAUCUGAAAAGGGUAUAGAGCACCAAGACUCACAGCAUUCUUUCUUGGCAUUUUUGAAUACGCCUUCCGAUGCUCUGGAUCAAUUUGAAGAUUCCUUUUCUUCUUCCUCAUCUUCACUGAUUGAUUUUUUGGAUGACCGCUCUCCAUCCUGUACUCCAGCUAGCAAAGGCAGACGUACUGAUCCCGUUGAGAACACAUAUGUAUGGAACCCGAGCGUCAAGUUUCACAUCCAGUCACGGUCCACAUCUCCUUCCACAUCUAGUGAAGCUGAGCCAGUUAAGACUGUAGACUCCACUCCACUUCCAGUUCACACACCAACCUUAAGGAAAAAAGGAUGUCCUGGUUCAACUGGCUUUCCACUUAAGCGCAAGACUCACCAGUUUUUUGUAAAAUCUUUUACUACUCCUACCAAGUGUCAUCAGUGUACCUCCUUGAUGGUGGGUUUAAUAAGACAGGGCUGUUCAUGUGAAGUAUGUGGAUUCUCAUGCCAUAUAACUUGUGUAAACAAAGCUCCAACCACUUGUCCAGUUCCUCCUGAACAGACAAAAGGUCCCCUGGGUAUAGAUCCUCAGAAAGGAAUAGGAACAGCAUAUGAAGGUCAUGUCAGGAUUCCUAAACCAGCCGGAGUGAAGAAAGGGUGGCAGAGAGCACUGGCUAUAGUGUGUGACUUCAAACUGUUUCUGUACGAUAUUGCUGAAGGAAAAGCAUCUCAGCCCAGUGUUGUCAUUAGUCAAGUGAUUGACAUGAGGGAUGAAGAAUUUUCUGUGAGUUCAGUGUUGGCUUCUGAUGUUAUCCAUGCAAGUCGAAAAGAUAUACCCUGUAUAUUUAGGGUCACAGCUUCCCAGCUCUCAGCAUCUAAUAACAAAUGUUCAAUCCUGAUGCUAGCAGACAGUGAGAAUGAGAAGAGUAAGUGGGUGGGAGUGCUGAGUGAAUUGCACAAGAUUUUGAAGAAAAACAAAUUCAGAGACCGCUCAGUCUAUGUUCCCAAAGAGGCUUAUGACAGCACUCUACCCCUCAUUAAAACAACCCAGGCAGCCGCAAUCAUAGAUCAUGAAAGAAUUGCUUUGGGAAACGAAGAAGGGUUAUUUGUUGUACAUGUCACCAAAGAUGAAAUUAUUCGAGUUGGUGAUAAUAAGAAGAUUCAUCAGAUUGAACUCAUUCCAAAUGAUCAGCUUGUUGCUGUGAUCUCAGGACGAAAUCGUCAUGUACGACUUUUUCCUCUGUCAGCACUGGAUGGGCGAGAGACCGAUUUUUACAAGCUGGCAGAAACUAAAGGGUGUCAAACCAUAACUUCUGGAAAGGUGCGCCAUGGAGCUCUCACAUGCCUGUGUGUGGCUAUGAAAAGGCAGGUCCUCUGUUAUGAACUAUUUCAGAGCAAGACUCGUCACAGAAAAUUUAAGGAAAUUCAAGUCCCAUAUAAUGUCCAGUGGAUGGCAAUCUUCAGUGAACAACUCUGUGUGGGAUUCCAGUCAGGAUUUCUAAGAUACCCUUUGAAUGGAGAAGGAAGUCCAUACAGUAUGCUCCAUUCAAAUGACCAUACACUAUCAUUUAUUGCACAUCAACCAAUGGAUGCUAUCUGCGCAGUUGAGAUCUCCAGUAAAGAAUAUCUGCUGUGUUUUAACAGCAUUGGGAUAUAUACUGACUGCCAGGGCCGAAGAUCUAGACAACAGGAAUUGAUGUGGCCAGCAAAUCCUUCCUCUUGUUGUUACAAUGCACCAUAUCUCUCGGUGUACAGUGAAAAUGCAGUUGAUAUCUUUGAUGUGAACUCCAUGGAAUGGAUUCAGACUCUUCCUCUCAAAAAGGUUCGACCCUUAAACAAUGAAGGAUCAUUAAAUCUUUUAGGGCUGGAGACCAUUAGAUUAAUAUAUUUCAAAAAUAAGAUGGCAGAAGGGGACGAACUGGUAGUUCCUGAAACAUCAGAUAAUAGUCGGAAACAAAUGGUUAGAAAUAUUAACAAUAAGCGGCGUUAUUCCUUCAGAGUCCCAGAAGAGGAAAGGAUGCAGCAGAGGAGGGAAAUGCUACGAGAUCCAGAAAUGAGAAAUAAAUUAAUUUCUAAUCCAACUAAUUUUAACCACAUAGCACACAUGGGUCCUGGAGAUGGAAUACAGAUCCUUAAAGAUCUGCCCAUGCCAGGUUUCCCUUAUCCAUCCCCUCAUCAUCACUCCGGUCUGAUCUCCUCUCCGAUCAACUUUGAACACAUCUAUCACAUGACUGUUAAUUCUGCUGAAAAAUUUCUCUCUCCUGAUUCCAUAAACCCUGAAUAUUCCCCGUCUCUACGCUCUGUCCCUGAACCCUCGGCCUCAGGAAAGUCGGACAGUAUUCAGUGGCUCAGUCAGUAUUCCAUCUAUCACCAAAUCCCGCCCUGAGCCAGGCCGCUCCAUGAGUGCUAGCAGUGGCCUGUCAGCAAGGUCAUCCGCACAGAAUGGCAGCGCAUUAAAGAGGGAAUUCUCUGGAGGAAGCUACAAUGCCAAGCGGCAGCCCAUGCCCUCCCCAUCAGAGGGCUCUUUGUCCUCCGGAGGCAUGGACCAAGGAAGUGAUGCCCCGGCGAGGGACUUUGACGGAGAGGACUCUGACUCUCCGAGGCAUUCCACAGCUUCCAACAGUUCCAACCUAAGCAGCCCCCCAAGCCCAGUUUCACCCCGAAAGACCAAGAGCCUCUCCCUGGAGAGCACUGACCGCGGGAGCUGGGACCCAUGAGCUGCCUCAGCACUGAGACUUCUCGCUCUCCGCUCCCUGCCACUCGCCUCUUCUCACUUUCAUCUUUUCCCUCCACCUCAGCCUGAAAGCCACCAGGGGCUGGCAGCAGUAGCAGGACAGGGAUUCAGGAGUUCUGACGACAUGACUCUCAGAUCCACGCCCCUAGCCUAACAGCAACAACAAAGACAGACUUUCCAUAGCAGCUUAGAUUAACGUUGAUUUCAUUCCAUGCACUUAGAGUUGCUUUCAGUAACAUUUUGCCCCUACUCCCAAAGGUAGCUUAAAUAGAUUACACAAAUGUAAGUGAUAAGAAUAAGAUUAGACAGAUUUUGCUUUCACAGUAGAGUCUCAUUAUAGUCCUAAAAUAGCUCAUGGGAUUCUCCGCAUCCAGAAGGGAGAAUCCGUCCCUGGAGUGGCUCACUAAGCUCUUAAUCGGCAACCACAGUGAGUGUCAACCUGAUUGUUGCCAGGAAAUCCUUAUGAAUUAAAACAAUGCAUAUUUUACUACAAUACAGAGUUUAAAUGAAUACAUAAAUGUAGAAGUACUGAAAGUAUAUAUUUAAAAGGAGCCUCUUGUAUUCAACAAAAGAUGGAUGCAUAUAUAAGAGAGAUGAUUUAAUUUAAAAAAUACGUUGUUUCUUGUCUGUUUCCCAGCUAAGUAAUGUAAAGGGUGGAAAGGCCUCAAGCUCACAUUUUUAGAGGCAGAGCGAGAGAAAUCAGAGUUCCCUUUAUUGCCCUGUCCUCAAACUGGUCGUAGGCUCCUGUCACUCGGGGAGCUUUGGAAAACAUUUGCAGAGCCUGGUUUUGCUGGUCUGGAGUGUGCCCUGGCACCAGAGCUUUAACAUCUGAAGCCACUUCAGCAGCAGCAGCAGCAGCAGGCUAACUCAUCUCCACCCGAGGUGUUUCUUUUCCUAGUGGUAGAAUUUGAACACUUCUCACUUUUUAUUGUAUUUUUAUCUUCUGCAGAUAAAUGUAGAAAUAUAUGAUUCUGUCACCUCUGAUCCCUUCCAUCUGAAAGGGUGCAAGGAGUGUUGUAGCUUCUGAAGGUCCAGAAAAUAGUUUCUAAAAAUGCUUUUCUUCCUGGUCUCAUCCUGUCCCUCCCUAAGUUACAGUGAGGUGUCUGUCCCAGGGCUGGAGACGGUUCCCAAGGAGGAGUCUGUUUUGUUGAGGGUGGGCAUGAGCUUCUUCAGAUAAGCCUGGGAAAGGAAGAAAAAAAGGCUUUCAUUACCAAAUAAUGUAAAACCUCAAAAGCAAGGGCUUGAAGAGCCUUAACCAAAUAUUAUUCCCAUAGCCAGUGGAAAAUGGACAAUACAACCCCAGUGCACAGGCCAGAAUGAGCCCAGCACGGGGCUCGGACUGGCCUCCUCUCAGGUGCUGGAUUGUGGGGUUAGUGGCAUUUUCAGCUGGAUUCCUCCUGUUGUAGUUGCCAUAAGGAAAUGAGAUGCAGAAUCAGAAUGAUCUAUUUCUACAGAGUCAUUUCACUAGUUAAGCACAUGAGUAGAGAAAGAGAUAAAAAUAAAAAUAUCUCAUGGAAGGAAAGAGAUUUUGCCUCUCUUUUACUUUUCGCCUAAGUUUCUCUGAGAGAGACAGGAUUCUCUCUUUAAAAUUCAGUGAAAAUGAAGAAAGUUUUCCUGCAGUUGCUAACCUGAGUUGCAGUGUUUAAGGCCAUCAUUUCACUGCUGCUGUCUGUGACUCCACCUCUGUGACACUGGCAGUAGCCCAUGCUGGCCUGUGGCAUGUGCAGGGAGCUGAAGCUGUUUCCAGGUGAUGCUGCUGUGUGGAGAAGGUUCUGAGAUGCAGUGAGGGAAGAAAGGAUCCUGCUAGGGAUUCCAUUGCAAGCACCUAUAAUUGGGAAUUUUCACAUAACAGCUUUGACAUUUAAACAUUCUGAGUUUGGUGCCAGCUCAGAUUUGAUUAUAUUUUGUUUUGGAUGGGUGUAAUUCACAGCACAGUUCUAAUCUCCCAAAUCUUUCUGCUUUUUAGAAUGAAGUAUAAAAAUACUUUUGUCACCUGAAUACCAAGGGUCAGCCCUUUAAUUGGAUCAUUGUCAUAUGACUAGGUAGAUCCUUGUCUUCAGCACUCCACGUGAGAGAAGGGAGUCAGCCAGCCGGCCCCCUGCCUGGUGCUCGUGACCAGCUCGCACCCCUUCUGUUCACCCUGCCCUCCUCUCCUCCCCACUCUCCCCCUCUCCUCCCCACUCUCCCCCACCCUCCCCUCCUCUCCUUCUCACUCUCCCCACCCUCCCCAUCCUCCUCUUCCCUUUCCCCUUGACUUCUCCUCUCUCUCUUCUCUUCUCAGGCAGGGAGGAGGCCAUCCCAAGCUGAGAUUAACAGGAUAAAUGGCUUAUUGACAUAAGCCAUUAGUUUGUAGCUUUGACAAGUAAUUGUGAAUUGUUGUUGCCUAUAGGUGCUUAUUUUCCAAAGGAUGCUUUUAGGAUCAAAAUAUAACCCUACCUAAAGUCUAGGCUCUACUGCAAUGGGUCAUACCCUUCCACCUCCCAACAGGGCAGAUGAGAGAGAACUACUGAGGCUUGUCUUGGUUGCCAGGCUAACUGGGCGGAUUGUCCAUAUUCACUCCAUGGAUUGCACCACGGCGCUCUUUGAUUUUUCCACUGCAAUGGCAAGUCAUCUCAUCAGUCAUAAUAGAGCAGUCCCAAAUGUGUGUAGAUUCUAAAACCUGGGCUUUAGGGGAGAAACACUGCCAGGGGUAAUAGUUUUGGGGAGGGUUUUCCCAAAAUAAUGGUCAUCCUACUGGGUUUAUCCCACCCUUAAAUAUGAAGCCUGUUACCUCCAGAAGCUUCUGAGAAGAAUGAUGUGAAAAGACAAGGAGUGAGUUCAGGGGAAAAAAACAUAAUGACCAUUCAGAGGAGUCAGUAGCAAAGCUCACAGGUAAAGUAUUUUAUUACUAUCUGAAGACAUCCUUUGUUUUCAUUCAGGACAUUUUAAAAAUGUAUAUGGCAGCAGACACUUGUUUCUCAAUAGAAAAAAAUACAUUCAGAGGCAUUUCUGAGAUAGUCUAUCUGUGUUAGUAUUUGGUGCUAUCUAUGUCCAGCCAAGUUAUCUACCCUUGAAUUCUGACUAAUCAUGUUUUGUGCUUUGGGUGUUUAAAAUUACAUACAUAUAUAUUAUUUAUUUUUGCCAAAAACAAAAGUCUUGCUCCUUGUCAAAUUAUUGCUAAAGUAGAUCUUACAUUUUUUGUUAUUACAUAUGUAUUUAUAGACACCCCCAACACACUUAGUGAUUUCUGUUAUUUCCCAGGGAGCACAGCUUUCAGGCUAUGAGAUACAACUAAAACGAGCCCAUCUAUUUGGUUUUCCAGCCAAUUAUUGUGCCCACACUUCAGGGGAGAAUCUGAAAUUCCUGUCAUGUUUACAGCAACAAUCUAUCAUUCCCGGCUGGCUCUCAGCCUCUCCUUCCAUAGGUUAGAAUUAUGUCAUUUUGUUACUUAGUGGCCACAUCUAUUUCUGAGAAAGACUGGUUACAUUUAUGUGGCAUCUCAGGUAUCAUUAAGGAAAAGCCAGAGCAGGGGUGAGCAGACGUCAAAACCACUGACGCAGCAGGGCCAUUUGCCGCCUUUGACCGGGAUCACAACCACUGCAGUCUCCCAGCAGGUAGGCCUUGCCAAGCCUAAGGCUCCCCAUCCAGUCUAGACAGAGGGGCGCUCAGAGCAGACUUUGCCGUAGCCCACAUCCAGUGAGCACAAUAGGAAUGAAUUGGGCACUCCACUCCCCUCUCUCUCUGGCCCAGUCCUGAACUAGAUGAGCUGCAUUUCAUUGAGCCCAUUUUGAAACCUCUUUCCUUAUGACUUUGUUACUCAAGUCCAGAGUUCUCUGUGCACUCCUGCUAGAUAAGGAGUGCGGGCUCCCCCAGCACUGGCAGCACGCUGGGUGCCUCCCUACGCAGGACACCAUGCAGUUCCGGGGGAAGCUGACUCAAAUCAACCUUGAAAUCUCAUGAAAACAAAAUGACUUGCCUUUUUAUUUGAUAGUGUAAUAUCAUUCAUUUUAUAAAUUUUUUAGGGUUUUUCUUGUAAUAUUGUACAGUUUUGCAUGGCCUGGUGUGAUCAUUUUUUGGUUAGAAUAUAAUGCUGACAAAUGUGUAUGGAGGGGGAAAGAUACUGCUUUAGCCUAUCCUUAUUUUAUUUUGUUUGGUUUUAUGCCCUCAAUGUUUUAGGGAACUUUCUAAGAGAUCCUCUGCUACCAAACAAUGAUGUGGAUUCUUUUGCACAGAAAUAUUUAAGGUGGGAUAGUAAAAAAUGUCACAAAAGACUCCUCACCAAUAUUUUAUGUUGAUAUCACUUAAUAUUAACCAGACUUUGCUGUAUUGCAAUAAAACAGAGAACUGUUA
This is a non-coding RNA of Macaca mulatta (Rhesus monkey), 11053 nucleotides long. The record is from RefSeq and is a predicted model, not a curated record. NCBI's taxonomy places the organism in Eukaryota, Metazoa, Chordata, Mammalia, Primates, Cercopithecidae.